GAUAAAUUCUUAUCUAGGCAAUAUUUGUCCUUUCCCACUAGUGACUAGAAACGUAAAGGAAGUGUUAAACAUGUUCACAACACGUACCAGAUUAGAGUAACAGUGGGGCCAUCCAAUAUGGCCGCCAUUGGCUUCACUUAUGCACAGCAGAUGCUUUAUCCAGUCUUAUUUCAGAUCAGUGGUUCGAAUAUACUUAACUUUGAACGUUUAGCUUCACGAUCCUGUUGGUGUGGAGUAUUAGAGAGUUUAUGCUUCGCGUUAUACGUCAAACGGCAAACGCCAGGCAAAGAAAAUUUUUACGAUAUCAGAUAAAUAAAGAGCAAAUUAGCUUGCUGUUUUAAAACUGAAAUACAUAAUUAUUCUUUCGACACAAGAUAGAAAAUAUGAAACGAAAACGUUCAACAAAAAUUUUGGCAAGAAAAUUCAAACCUGCCGUUUGAAUUGCCGUUCCCGGAAACGUGAAGCUUAUUUAGCUAUUUAAGUAACUCUUUAUUCUUAUUCAUUUACGUGGGAGAGGCGAUGCACUGCAUGAUUGUGUUUAAGUGUUUUCCACAGUAUAAACUGAAUUUAUCAUGCGGUACCUCGAUCUACUUUCCAUUAUUCUUGAUUGGUUAGUGGAGCAGUGGAGAGGAUGGUGCGUUGUAAAUAUAUGUUGUGAAUUUCUCUGUGAACUUUUACUGUAUACUGUAGUUCAUGUAAAGUAAUUUAACAUCAUUUUGUAAAAAUGUUGGGGGUUUUUUUUUCAUAAUUUAAUCCAAAUUUUCACCGUAUUUUGCUGAAAAUAUGGCAAUUUCUAUUCGAAAUUUAUAUAAAAAAUUCGAUCAGAACGCAGGAAAUCGCAUUUCCGAGGUUCUAGAUUUCCAAAUUUUGCAAAGACAUGAGGAAUUAUGCAUCUCUCAGCUAAAACCAUGGAUCCGGCCCUGUUGUAAAGGCCUAAGAACAUAUUUAUUAUCCAAAUAUGUAGUAGAUAAACCAUAAUAAGUAGACAAUAACUGUAAAUAUAAAUAUAAUUAUUUUAACUUAUACUUUUUAGAUAACAUAGAGAUAAACUUUACUUUGUAAUCUAUAGCAGUUGAAGACAUGGGCUAACCGGGGGGGAAGCCCCCCAGUUUGUUGGGCAAACAGUCGGGCAAUAUUGGCUUAUUAUAAAAAUAAAUGGGACAAAUUCUGUGUAUUUUGUGGGAAAUUCUGUCAAUUUUGUAGAAAAUAUGCUAUGUAAUAGGAAUUUUUCGUAAUCAAUCCCCCCCCCCCGUCGACAACAAUUUUGGAAAGUUUCUCCGAAAAUUUUCUUUUGACAACUCGGACACAAUCCAAAAAAAUAGGGCAAAUCUCUUUCCGCCCCCAUAAUUUUUCAAUUCCCGUACGCCCAUGGUUGAAGAGCCACUCUGUGGAUACACCGUUAUUAAAUCAUUAUUAUAUGGAAUUCUUCAGGGGUAAAGUGUUUUGAGUUUGGAAUUCUUCAGGGGUAAAGGAUUUUGAGCUUGGAAUUCUUCAGGGGUAAAGUGUUUUGAGUUUGGAAUUCUUCAGGGUAACGUAUUUUGAGUUUGGAAUUCCUCAGGGGUAAAGUGUUUUGAGUUUGGAAUUCUUCAGGGGUAACGUGUUUUGAGUUUGGAAUUCUUCAGGGGUAAAGUGUUUUGAGUUUGGAAUUCCUCAGGGAUAAAGGAUUUUGAGCUUGGAAUUCUUCAGGGGUAAAGUGUUUUGAGUUUGGAAUUCUUCAGGGGUAAUGUGUUUUGAGUUUGGAAUUCUUCAGGGGUAAAGUGUUUUGAGUUUGGAAUUUCUCAGGGGUAAAGGAUUUUGAGCUUGGAAUUCUUCAGGGGUAAAGGAUUUUGAGCUUGGAAUUCUUCAGGGGUAAAGGAUUUUGAGCUUGGAAUUCUUCAGGGGUAAAGUGUUUUGAGUUUGGAAUUCUUCAGGGGUAAAGUGUUUUGAGUUUGGAAUUCUUCAGGGGUAAAGUGUUUUGAGUUUGGAAUUCCUCAGGGGUAAAGGAUUUUGAGCUUGGAAUUCUUCAGGGGUAAAGUGUUUUGAGUUUGGAAUUCCUCAGGGGUAAAGUGUUUUGAGUUUGGAAUUCUUCAGGGGUAACGUGUUUUGAGUUUGAAAUUCCUCAGGGGUAAAGUGUUUUGAGUUUGGAAUUCUUCAGGGGUAACGUGUUUUGAGUUUGGAAUUCUUCAGGGGUAAAGUGUUUUGAGUUUGGAAUUCCUCAGGGGUAAAGUGUUUUGAGUUUGGAAUUCUUCAGGGGUAAAGUGUUUUGAGUUUGGAAUUCUUCAGGGGUAACGUGUUUUGAGUUUGGAAUUCUCCAGGGGUAAAGUGUUUUGAGUUUGGAAUUCCUCAGGGGUAAAGGAUUUUGAGCUUGGAAUUCUUCAGGGGUAAAGUGUUUUGAGUUUGGAAUUCUUCAGGGGUAAAGUGUUUUGAGUUUGGAAUUCUUCAGGGGUAAAGGAUUUUGAGCUUGGAAUUCUUCAGGGGUAAAGGAUUUUGAGCUUGGAAUUCUUCAGGGGUAAAGUGUUUUGAGUUUGGAAUUCUUCAGGAGUAAAGUGUUUUGAGUUUGGAAUUCUUCAGGGGUAAAGUGUUUUGAGUUUGGAAUUCUUCAGGGGUAAAGGAUUCGAGCUUGGAAUUCUUCAGGGGUAAAGAGGUUUGAGAUUGAAAUUUUUCAGAGUUUGGAAUUCUUCAGGGGUAAAGUGUUUUGAGUUUGGAAUUCUUCAGGGGUAAAGGAUUUUGAGCUUGGAAUUCUUCAGGGGUAAAGAGGUUUGAGAUCGAAAUUUUUCAGAGGUUGGAAUUCUUCAGGGGUAAAGUGUUUUGAGCUUGGAAUUCUUCAGGGGUAAAGUGUUUUGAGUUUGGAAUUCUUCAGGGGUAAAGGAUUCGAGCUUGGAAUUCUUCAGGGGUAAAGAGGUUUGAGAUCGAAAUUUUUCAGAGUUUGGUAUUCUUCAGGGGUAAAGUGUUUUGAGUUUGGAAUUCUUCAGGGGUAGAGUGUUUUGAGCUUGGAAUUCUUCAGGCGUAAAGGAUUUUGAGCUUG
Non-coding RNA from Paramuricea clavata, 3004 nucleotides. The record is from the annotation of a GenBank genome assembly. Lineage: Eukaryota; Metazoa; Cnidaria; Anthozoa; Malacalcyonacea; Plexauridae.